Molecule: ribosomal RNA, 549 nt
Filed under: uncultured bacterium
Lineage: Bacteria
Description: bacterial SSU rRNA
Rfam family: Bacterial small subunit ribosomal RNA
Source: RNAcentral
GGGGAAUCUUCCGCAAUGGGCGCAAGCCUGACGGAGCAACGCCGCGUGAGUGAAGAAGGUCUUCGGAUCGUAAAGCUCUGUUGACGGGGACGAACGUACGGAGUGCGAAUAGUGCUCUGUAAUGACGGUACCUGUCGAGGAAGCCACGGCUAACUACGUGCCAGCAGCCGCGGUAAUACGUAGGUGGCGAGCGUUGUCCGGAAUCAUUGGGCGUAAAGGGAGCGCAGGCGGGCAUGUAAGCCUUUCUUAAAAGUUCGGGGCUCAACCCCGUGAUGGGAAGGAAACUACAUGUCUUGAGUACAGGAGAGGAAAGCGGAAUUCCCAGUGUAGCGGUGAAAUGCGUAGAUAUUGGGAGGAACACCAGUGGCGAAGGCGGCUUUCUGGACUGCAACUGACGCUGAGGCUCGAAAGCCAGGGGAGCGAACGGGAUUAGAUACCCCGGUAGUCCUGGCCGUAAACGAUGGAUACUAGGUGUGGGAGGUAUCGACCCCUACCGUGCCGGAGUUAACGCAAUAAGUAUCCCGCCUGGGGAGUACGGUCGCAAGACUG